This 301-nucleotide ribosomal RNA is filed under the name uncultured bacterium. RNAcentral's name for it is "partial 16S ribosomal RNA". It matches the Rfam family "Bacterial small subunit ribosomal RNA", at positions 509 to 809 of the family's 1533-position model. The record is from RNAcentral.
CAGCAGCCGCGGUAAUACGAAGGGGGCUAGAGUUGCUCGGAAUUACUGGGCGUAAAGGGCGCGUAGGCGGCGCUCCAAGUUAGGCGUGAAAUUCCCGGGCUCAACCUGGGGACUGCGCUUAAGACUGGAGUGCUUGAGGAUGGAAGAGGGUUGUGGAAUUCCCAGUGUAGAGGUGAAAUUCGUAGAUAUUGGGAAGAACACCGGUGGCGAAGGCGGCAACCUAGUCCAUUACUGACGCUGAGGCGCGAUAGCGUGGGGAGCAAACAUGAUUAGAGACCCCUGUAGUCCCUGUCUCUUAUAA